AACUCUAGAUUUAUAUUCCGAUGAUUAUUCAGAAAUUAGGGCUAAUCUGCACUGGCUCGGAAGGUUGUAAAUGAUUAGCUAGUUUGAAUUUGCAUAACAAUACUGACAAUGAACGUGCAUUCAACGCCACAAGUUUUUUUGUUUUUGUAGCCAAUCAGAAUUUAUCUUUCGAGCCAGUGCAGAUCAGUCGAGAAAUUAGUUCUACUACUGGUAGUAGUAUCCAACAGUAUCUUCAGAUGCUGAUACAGAAAUAACUCACACACUUGCUUUCAAAGUGCUUGGUAGUGCAUACAAACAAUGUUACCAAAAUAUUCUUGAGGAAGGUUCUUUAAUGUUAAACAACUCUGAAGAAGUACUAGCAAGAAUAGUUAGUGAACCAACUAAUCCUAUCAAUGCACAGGCUAUUGCUGUACAACUUAAUUUAGGUCAUGGAUGGGGAGUUGUAGGAUACAUACCAGACGAGUUGCUGGAAUAUAUUCACCCAUUGCUGAAUACAAAUAAAAUUACAGCAGUUAAAGUUCUGCACAUAAAAUUUAAGGCAACAUGGAAACGUAUUGGCAUGUAUGCAAAACUCCUUAUAACGCGCAAAGGUGCAUGGGAUCCUUUUGUUGUCAGAAGGAGUCAGUCUGUCAUGUAAACUUAGAUAGCACAAUUUAGCCAUAUACAUGCGAUGCCAAGUUGUUUGUUUUGUUUUGUUUUGUUUUGUUUUGUUUUUGGGGGGGGGGGCUAUUGUGUUGCCUGAAGAUAAGGGGAUUCACCAGUUUAGUAUUUGGGGGAGGAUGACUGAUUCCCGUCGUUGUUGGCAUCACACAACAACUUUUCUCAUUUUCGACAUCUAGUCCAAAUGUUUUACUCACAAUGGGAGUCUUUGCAGUUGCCCCGUCUGUAUGUUCCACCAAUUUCUCAAGAACCAUGUGUUGGUUUUUGAUGAAACUUGGUGUGUAUAUGCUCUGGACUGGUGUGCAAAUUUGAUUAGGUUUUGGUUGAAAUCUGUACAUAUUAAUUACCUGAUUUUGAUUUUUGGCUCAACGGACCAUAGGUCCGCUGAGCCUAUGGGAUGGGUUUCUGUCCUGUGUCUGUCGUCCGUCUGUCUGUGCAUGACUUCUUCUCAAAAACCGUCGAACCGUUUGACUCGAUUUUUGGUGUGUGGAUGCCUUGACGAGUGUAAAUGGUAAUUUGUUCAUGAGAAGUCGAUCUGCCAAAAAUGAUGCAAAUAAGCCCCCAAAAACUCUAAAAUUUAUUCUAUGCUACUAUGACACUAAGUGGUCUAUAGUGCUGAUGUUGAUAGUGCAUGUGCCUUGGGUUGUCCUCUAUCAGUUUUGUUAAUUUGGUAAGGAAAUUUUCAAUUUCCUCAUUUUGGCGAAUAUUUUGAAAUGGUCAUUUUUGGUCAAUAAUUCUAUUUUCGACUUCUUCAAAACCGGUUGCCUGAAUGCUUUGAUACUUGGUGUGUAUGUACCUUGUGUUGACAUCUACUAGAUUUGUUCAUCCCAUGGCCAUAUCUUUAAUUCUCUAAUUUUGGCAAAUAUUUUUGUCAUAUUUGGUUAAAAAUGGAAUUUCAACUAACCACUAUUUCCAAUGCUUUGGUGUUAGGCAUACAUGUGUUUAUUGACAACUUUGUGUGGUUGUUUGGCGAUAUUUCAUUUAAAAAUACAAAUUGUUGACAUCUUCAAUUCAAAAAUAGUACUUUUGACUUGUUCUUCAAACCAGUAGUCCAAAUUCUUUGAUACUUGGUACACAUGUAGCUUGGAUGACACUUCAAUCAGUCAGUAAAAGUGGCCAAAUUUAUCAAAAAUUUCAGAAAUUCAUGAUUUUUUUUUUAUUACCUUCUCCUUUAUGCACUACAAUGGACAAAACUUGGGAAGAUUAUACAAUGCCAUAUUGAAAUUGUAUGCUCACAGGGAGAUAUGUAAUGUUUCCCAUUUGUUCGUCAUUCUCGCAUAGCACAUGGGGUUUCCAAGUACAUACAUACCAAUAUUUAGGCUAUUUUGGUGAUAUCUUGAGAACCAUUUAAUGUUUUAAUAAAACUUGGUGCAUAGAUGUGUUGGGGCAGUUUCCAGAUAGUUUUUGGUGGAAAUUUAUGCAAAUUAUCUAAUUUGCAUAUCAGCUAGUGAAAUUCAAGCCAUUUGGGAGCUAUUCAACAAAACUUGGUAUAUACAUGUAUUACAAAUUCAGAUAAUUGCAAAUGUUAUGUUCUUUUUAAGCUCUUUGAUUCUAAUUUUAUUGAAUAUUUGUUAUUUUUGAAAAAAAUUCCACUUUUAGCAUGUUUUAUUGUCUCACUUUUGGGGUAAUUGUCAUAUACAGCACUAAUCUUUUGUACAAUAGCCGUUGAGCAACAGGCCAUUGGCCUAUUAUUGGUGUAGAACAUUUGAAAGCUUGUUUGCAAGCAUGAUGUAUCACUUGGACCAAAAUAUUAAAUGAAUGAGCUUGACCUGAAUGUGAAAAUUUGGCUAUACAACACAAGACAUGGACAGACAAAUUGAUUUUCACAAAUUGAUUUUCACACAUUCAUUUACUGUGCAAUACUUUAUUUUCACUGGGAUUUGAUAGUAAAUAACUGUAUAUGGUUCAUUAUUUUGUGUGUCAAACAUUCAUAAAUGGAAAAUAAAGAACGCAUUAAUGCGUAUUUAUUUUUAUUAAAACUGUUGAACUUACAAAGUUGAGUUUACAUGUCUUAUUUAGAUACCAGCAGUGCAACACCAAUGGAGAGUUUUGGGUGCUCAUGAAGAUAAAAAGCACAAUUAAAUUCACCAUUUUCAGGUAUGAGAAAACACUUUACACUAAACUAACACUAGUUUAUUCAACAUUUAAAUGCAUGUUUGGCCUGCUAAAUUGAGGCUGAAAGUUUCAACAAAAUCUUACCAGAUGUAGUUGGUGGUCAAGUAGACAUUCAUAAUUUGAGAUUUGCUUUUCAAACAAGCUUGGCAAAUAAUUGUUGUCUGCUACUAUAGAUGCAUAAUAGAUGAAAUGAACAAAUCUCAAACAAGGUCCAAUGAGCAAAUAAACAGAAAAGAUGAUAGAAAUCACCUCUGUUUAAUAAAGAUAAUCUGACCUCCCGCCCUCCUUUUCACGUGGAAGGUCACCCCAGUUUUUUAUCUGACAUGAAGCAUCUCACUAAACAU
This 3119-nucleotide long non-coding RNA is filed under the name Saccoglossus kowalevskii. Its description in RNAcentral is "uncharacterized LOC102807202". The record is from RNAcentral. Lineage: Eukaryota; Metazoa; Hemichordata; Enteropneusta; Harrimaniidae.